Molecule: long non-coding RNA, 556 nt
Organism: Hippocampus zosterae (dwarf seahorse)
Lineage: Eukaryota; Metazoa; Chordata; Actinopteri; Syngnathiformes; Syngnathidae
Exons: 3
Source: RefSeq, a predicted model, not a curated record
CCUAGAGUGGCCGACAACAGACAAGAAGAGAGCGUCUGGACUUUUCAUCAGUGAUAAGCAGCCGCCGUGCAUAUUGGGUGAUCCUCAUUCACUGCUGAAGUGCGCACAACCUACUCAAGCUUAUUUUGGCCACUGAGUCUCCACGCUUACUAUUUUAUCCCCAAGUGCUGACGUUUUUCAUUCCACAUGCGAAGCCCCCCGCCGGCCUGCCCUGUGAACCAGGCCGGCAGCCUCCCACCAAGACACCCCGCCCGGCAAGACACGCCAACCAGUACCGACCGUGAUUCUCUCCCGCUGCCACUGGACAACAGCCGGCGGGAGGUUGGUGCAAGUUCACUGGCUAGUCCCGCAACACUGACAAUGUUUUCAAUUAUAACUUCAAAGCCAAUCUAUCGAUACGAACGGGGCCUUCGAUUCGUUUUACACAUCACCGGCGCGGCCAUAACCGAGAGCAUCAAGCGGGCAGGGGAGUCCCUGGAACGGCGCUCUAUCGCCGCUUUGUCCCACCGAAGAGACUGGGUUGGUCAAUAUGAAAAGGAGACAGUUUUACCUUUCG